UUCCCGCCUACCUUACCCAACCAAACUCCGAAUACCAUUGACCGUACCACGGGAGUCAGACCCUGGGGGACAAUCUUCAGGGUCGAAAGGGAAACAGCCCACAUCGCCAGUUAAGGUCCCAAAGCUAACCUAAGUCAUAAAGGAAGUGGAGAUGCUAUAACAGCUAGUAUGUUGGCUUAGAAGCAGCCAUCAUUUAAAAAGUGCGUAAUAGCUUACUAGUCGAGCAUCUCUGCGUCGAAAAUUAGCGGGAGUUAAGGUUAGCACCGAGACUGCGGGGCAAGUCGUUUAGUUCGAUUUGUCGGUAGGGGAGCGUUCCACUGUAGGUUGAAGGAGUACCGUAAGGAGCUCUGGACGACGUGGAAGUGAUUAUGCCGGAAUGAGUAGCGAUAAAAUGAGUGAGAAUCUCAUUCGCCGAAAGCCUAAGGUUUCCUGGGGAAGGCAAUUCCGCCCAGGGUUAGUCGGUACCUAAGGCGAGGCCGAAAGGCGUAGUCGAUGGAUAGCACGUUAAUAUUCGUGCACCACUUCUGGUGAGUUUGAUGGACAGGGGUGACGGAGGCUGGAAGGUCAUCGGGGCGUUGAUUGUCCCCGUCGCUGGCCCGAGGUGCGCGGUAGGUAAAUCCGCCGCGAUAAUCCGGAGGUCGGCGCAGGACCAUUUGAGUCUGAAGUGAUCGGAAGGUCUUCCAAGAAAAACCUCGGUUCUAUUGCCAGGAGUGACCGUACUAAAACUGACACAGGUAGGCGAGGUGAGUAUCCUAAGGCGCUCGAGAGAACCUUCGUUAAGGAACUAGGCAAAAUGACUCCGUAACUUCGGGAGAAGGAGUGCCACGGUAGAGUGAUCCAGUUUCCUGGAGAGCUCGAAGUGGUCGCAGCGAAAAGGGUCUAGCGACUGUUUACUAAAAACACAGGACUGUGCUAAGACGCAAGUCGAUGUAUACAGUCUGACGCCUGCUCGGUGCCGGAAGGUUAAGGGGACGGGUUAUCCCUUCGGGGAGAAGCUCAGAACUGAAGCCCCGGUUAACGGCGGCCGUAACUAUGACGGUCCUAAGGUAGCGAAGUUCCUUGUCGGGUAAGUUCCGACCCGCACGAAUGGCGUAACGACUGGACCGGUGUCUCAACGAAGGACUCGGCGAAAUUGUAGUUGUGGUGCAGAUGCCACAUACCCGCGGCUAGACGGAAAGACCCCGUGAACCUUUACUAUAGCCUAUUAUUGGGUUUGGGUAAUGCAUGUGUAGGAUAGGUGGGAGGCGUUGAAGCGAGAUCGCCAGAUCUUGUGGAGCCAUCCUUGAAAUACCACCCUUGUAUUAUUUAAAUUCUAACCAGGUUCCGUGAAUCCGGGCUUGGAACAGUGGUAGGUGGGUAGUUUGGCUGGGGCGGUCUCCUCCCAAAGAGUAACGGAGGAGCCCAAAGGCUUCCUCAAUGCGGUUGGCAAUCGCAUGUAGAGCGCAAGGGUAAAAGGAAGCUUAACUGCGAGACCCAUAAGUCGAGCAGAUGUGAAAGCAGGGCCUAAUGAUCCGGCGUAUUCCGGGUGGAAGGGACGUCGCUCAACAGAUAAAAGGUACUCCGGGGAUAACAGGCUGAUC
This 1580-nucleotide ribosomal RNA is filed under the name marine metagenome. RNAcentral describes it as "bacterial LSU rRNA". It matches the Rfam family "Bacterial large subunit ribosomal RNA", at positions 929 to 2487 of the family's 2925-position model. The record is from RNAcentral.